RNAcentral lists this ribosomal RNA (495 nucleotides) under uncultured bacterium. RNAcentral describes it as "partial 16S ribosomal RNA". It matches the Rfam family "Bacterial small subunit ribosomal RNA", at positions 28 to 507 of the family's 1533-position model. The record is from RNAcentral.
GACGAACGCUGGCGGCGUGCCUAAUACAUGCAAGUAGAACGCUGAAGGAGGAGCUUGCUCUUCUGGAUGAGUUGCGAACGGGUGAGUAACGCGUAGGUAACCUGCCUGGUAGCGGGGGAUAACUAUUGGAAACGAUAGCUAAUACCGCAUAACAGUAGAUGUUGCAUGACAUUUACUUAAAAGGUGCAAUUGCAUCACUACCAGAUGGACCUGCGUUGUAUUAGCUAGUUGGUGGGGUAACGGCUCACCAAGGCGACGAUACAUAGCCGACCUGAGAGGGUGAUCGGCCACACUGGGACUGAGACACGGCCCAGACUCCUACGGGAGGCAGCAGUAGGGAAUCUUCGGCAAUAGACGGAAGUCUGACCGAGCAACGCCGCGUGAGUGAAGAAGGUUUUCGGAUCGUAAAGCUCGGUUGUAAGAGAAGAACGAGUGUGAGAGUGGAAAGUUCACACUGUGACGGUAUCUUACCAGAAAGGGACGGCUAACUACGUG